Molecule: small RNA, 1652 nt
Filed under: Cryptococcus neoformans H99
Lineage: Eukaryota; Fungi; Basidiomycota; Tremellomycetes; Tremellales; Cryptococcaceae
Description: Cryptococcus neoformans var. grubii H99 hypothetical RNA
Source: RNAcentral
UAUAUCCAAACACGCCAUGCCCUGUAUUGAAGUUACCCGAUCCCUUCAUCUCACCCUAUCCGUACUUCGGUGUCAUGACCAUAGGAUGGAAAGACGCCGUUUUAGAGCCAAGACGUGAAUUUUCGAUUCCUCUUUGACUCGCUGCUCGUUCGGUGAUAAAGUAUACAGGUUUAGUACACCAUUUACAUCUUUCUAAAUGUCGAAAGACCGCAUCGAAUUCACUUUAAUGCUCUCAAAACAUGUGAUGAGGAGCUGGAUGCAAGCAUAGAGAUAUGGAUCUGGUCAUCUGCAUGUGUACCGUCACCGAAUACCGCCCCAGUGGAUGCAUCACUGCGGUAUGAAGCACCAAACCUCAGGAUGGCAUGGCGGAUUUACGUAUAUGGAAAUUGAACUCCCCGAAUACACGUUCCCAGCCGACUUGUGUUUCCACAACCGACUUGUAUUUCCACAACACAAUGGAUAGAAAAGAAUAUUGAGAAAGUUCAAGGCAAUUCGUCCAUCUCGCAUACCACCCUUCUCCCUGUAUCACGUUCGCAAAUGUGCGCCAUUACCAUUUCACCAUUCUAAAGAUGGAUGAGGUCUAAAGCCGGCGUUGCUUAUUGAGGUGAAGUAAAGGUCGUUUGAGCGCUACUUUUUUUCCCUGACCUUGCAGCGAUGCUUACCAACACUUCUCGACUUCUCGCUGCCACUUUCUUUUGCCAGCUCUACCCGUCCUUGACGUCGCGUCUUGCUUCCUACUCCCCUGUUUGGAAUCCUUCUACCUGGACGCAACUAUUCUACUCAACAUUUAAAGGAUAAUUUUGAGGGAUUGACGAGGAGAGAUGAAAGUCUGGAGCAGGCAACGAGUGCAAACACUGGCAGAGGAGAGACGAAUGGAUAUACCAACUGGAUGACGCGAAGCAUUCGGCCUUUCUCUGAUGUCUACUCACCGUCUGUAAUUGUCAAUCCACAGCAAGCUUUUCAUUCAUUAUCCAUCUCUCUGCCUCACGUAGUAACUUCCAUCUUUCACGUCAAUCUGCCGACUAGUAUCCUCGUCCUAUCUUCACCUCGCCUUCUGAAGAUUAUUCUUUCACAAUGGUGUAUUUUCCCAGCCUGCUUUCGUUGCGGUCAGGGGUUAAGGGAGACUUGAAGACUUGGGUUGGGAUAAGAGAAGUCGAUGUGAGAGGGAAAGCAGGAAUCAUCAAGGACCGAAAGAAGACACUGAUGAGGAUUGGAAGGGAUGUUACGAGAUUAGCAAAAUAAUACGUCUGUGGCUUUCGUGACAUGCCGUUGCGAGAGACAAACUAGAAGAAGAUGACACAAGAAGAGAGGCACCAGGGACGAAGCUUGACAGAAGAUGCAACUGUUCUCGAUGAAGAUCUGGGAAUGCUACAAUAUCCCUAAUCAUCACUAGCAUACCACCGAGGGCAAUCGUAUCGCCAUGACAACGGAGGCCAGUGCUUGGAUCUUAAGGAUGGGAUCUUUGAGGAUUGGGCGGCGGUACAGACCUUCAAGUGUACCCACCAUCACUGGAAUCAGAUCUGGACAGUGAAGGAGGGAGAAUUACAUAAAGCGUCGCGGAACUUCUUUUAUUCUCUUUCUUGUGUAUAUUGGCAGUUCGAGUUAUGGUCAGUCAAUGUAAUCGAAUGUAUAUUUGUCCUAUUUAACCCCCU